This 468-nucleotide ribosomal RNA is filed under the name uncultured bacterium. RNAcentral's name for it is "partial 16S ribosomal RNA". It matches the Rfam family "Bacterial small subunit ribosomal RNA", at positions 28 to 507 of the family's 1533-position model. The record is from RNAcentral.
GACGAACGCUGGCGGCGUGCUUAACACAUGCAAGUCGAACGGUGAUGCUCCAGCUUGCUGGAGUGGAUCAGUGGCGAACGGGUGAGUAACACGUGAGCAACCUGCCCCAGACUCUGGAAUAAGCGCUGGAAACGGCGUCUAAUACUGGAUACGAAACUGGCCCGCAUGGGCAUGGUUUGGAAAGUUUUUCGGUUUGGGAUGGGCUCGCGGCCUAUCAGCUUGUUGGUGAGGUAAUGGCUCACCAAGGCGACGACGGGUAGCCGGCCUGAGAGGGCGACCGGCCACACUGGGACUGAGACACGGCCCAGACUCCUACGGGAGGCAGCAGUGGGGAAUAUUGCACAAUGGGCGAAAGCCUGAUGCAGCGACGCCGCGUGAGGGAAGACGGCCUUCGGGUUGUAAACCUCUUUCAGCAGGGAAGAAGCGAAAGUGACGGUACCUGCAGAAGAAGCACCGGCUAACUACGUG